RNAcentral lists this unclassified non-coding RNA (361 nucleotides) under Hevea brasiliensis (rubber tree). Lineage: Eukaryota; Viridiplantae; Streptophyta; Magnoliopsida; Malpighiales; Euphorbiaceae. The record is from RNAcentral.
CUGAGAUGCAAAUGACCAGUAACUUACACCAACAUCAUCUCAUAAUCUUUACAAGAAGAAUGUAUAGCUUAUAAAUACCAAGCUGAAUGCUAAACAUCUUCGCAAAGCAAUAAGGAUCUGAUCUUAUAAACCCUGUAAAAUUUACCUGAUCAAAUUGACUUAGACCAUGGGGAACUGCUGUAAGACUAUCACUCAGAUAAAAAAUCUGCCGUUGUGUUGUCAAGCCCUUCUCAGAUAAAUGCAAAAAUCAAUAGUAAGUGAACUGCAAAGCAAAGCUUGAGACCGAACCCAGCCACUUGUUUGUUACCUUCAGAGAACCAAGAGUAAGCUUCUUAAAAAGAUGAAAAAUAGCCAAUGGCAG